Molecule: ribosomal RNA, 433 nt
Filed under: uncultured bacterium
Lineage: Bacteria
Description: partial 16S ribosomal RNA
Rfam family: Bacterial small subunit ribosomal RNA
Source: RNAcentral
AACGAACGCUGGCGGCAUGCCUAACACAUGCAAGUCGAACGAGACCUUCGGGUCUAGUGGCGCACGGGUGCGUAACGCGGGGGAACCUGCCCUUAGGUUCGGAAUAACUCCCCGAAAGGGGUGCUAAUACCGGAGAAUGUCUUCGGACCAAAGAUUUAUCGCCUUUGGAUGGGCCCGCGUUGGAUUAGCUAGUUGGUAGGGUAAAAGCCUACCAAGGCGACGAUCCAUAGCUGGUCUGAGAGGAUGAUCAGCCACACUGGGACUGAGACACGGCCCAGAAUGCUACGGGAGGCAGCAGUGGGGAAUAUUGGACAAUGGGCGAAAGCGUGAUCCAGCAAUGCCGCGUGAGUGAUGCAGGCCUUAGGGUUGUAAAGCUCUUUUACCCGGGAUGAUAAUGACAGUACCGGGAGAAUAAGCACCGGCUAACUCCGUG